Molecule: long non-coding RNA, 188 nt
Organism: Scomber scombrus (Atlantic mackerel)
Lineage: Eukaryota; Metazoa; Chordata; Actinopteri; Scombriformes; Scombridae
Exons: 3
Source: RefSeq, a predicted model, not a curated record
AUCCAGACAUGAAGAGUUCAACUGUGUGUCUGCUGCUCGGUGUGUCUGUGCUGCUGCUGUCUGGUCCCACUGAUUCAGCAGUCUCUCUGAGAGUCAGUCCAGACCUUCAGCAGUUCUUCAGCAUAGAGUCUCCACUGACUCUGAGCUGUGAUGGAGACGGACAGACAGGCUGAUGGAGGGACGGUGAA